GGGAUUGCCUCAGUAACGGCGAGUGAAGCGGCAACAGCUCAAAUUUGAAAUCUGAUCCCAAGCGGAUCCGAGUUGUAAUUUGCAGAGGACGCUUCGGGGGCGGAGCCGGCCCAAGUCCAUUGGAACGUGGCGUCAGAGAGGGUGAGAGUCCCGUCCGCGGCCGGCCUCCAAACCCAGAGGUAGCUCCUUCGACGAGUCGAGUUGUUUGGGAAUGCAGCUCUAAAUGGGUGGUAAAUUUCAUCUAAAGCUAAAUACUGGCCAGAGACCGAUAGCGCACAAGUAGAGUGAUCGAAAGAUGAAAAGCACUUUGGAAAGAGAGUCAAACAGUACGUGAAAUUGUUGAAAGGGAAGCGUUAGCGAUCAGACCUGCCCGCGGGCGAUCAGCCUCCGUUUGCGGAGGUGCACUCGCCCGCGAUCAGGCCAGCGUCGGUUCGGGCGGUCGGAGAACGGCUCGGGGAACGUAGCUCCCUCCGGGGAGUGUUACAGCCCGGAGCGCAAUGCGGCCAGCCCGGAUCGAGGAGCGCGCCUUCGGGCCAGGAUGCUGGCGUAAUGGUCGUUAACGGCCCGUCUUGAAACACGGACCAAGGAGUCUAACAUCUGUGCGAGUGUUUGGGCGUCAAACCCAUGCGCGCAAUGAAAGUGAACGGAGGUGAGAGCCUUCGGGCGCAUCAUCGACCGAUCCGGAUGUCUUCGGAUGGAUUUGAGUAUGAGCACAGCUGUUGGGACCCGAAAGAUGGUGAACUAUGCCUGAAUAGGGUGAAGCCAGAGGAAACUCUGGUGGAGGCUCGCAGCGGUUCUGACGUGCAAAUCGAUCGUCAAAUUUGGGCAUAGGGGCGAAAGACUAAUCGAACCAUCUAGUAGCUGGUUCCUGCCGA
This 875-nucleotide ribosomal RNA is filed under the name Sprucidea gymnopiperis. RNAcentral's name for it is "LSU rRNA". It matches the Rfam family "Eukaryotic large subunit ribosomal RNA", at positions 71 to 964 of the family's 3401-position model. Lineage: Eukaryota; Fungi; Ascomycota; Lecanoromycetes; Lecanorales; Malmideaceae. The record is from RNAcentral.